Molecule: ribosomal RNA, 477 nt
Filed under: uncultured organism
Description: partial 16S ribosomal RNA
Rfam family: Bacterial small subunit ribosomal RNA
Source: RNAcentral
GUACACUCCUGCGGGAGGCAGCAGUGGGGAAUUUUGGACAAUGGGCGAAAGCCUGAUCCAGCAAUGCCGCGUGAGUGAAGAAGGCCUUCGGGUUGUAAAGCUCUUUUGUCAGGGAAGAAACGGUGAGAGCUAAUAUCUUUUGCUAAUGACGGUACCUGAAGAAUAAGCACCGGCUAACUACGUGCCAGCAGCCGCGGUAAUACGUAGGGUGCAAGCGUUAAUCGGAAUUACUGGGCGUAAAGCGUGCGCAGGCGGUUUUGUAAGUCUGAUGUGAAAUCCCCGGGCUCAACCUGGGAAUUGCAUUGGAGACUGCAAGGCUAGAAUCUGGCAGAGGGGGGUAGAAUUCCACGUGUAGCAGUGAAAUGCGUAGAUAUGUGGAGGAACACCGAUGGCGAAGGCAGCCCCCUGGGUCAAGAUUGACGCUCAUGCACGAAAGCGUGGGGAGCAAACAGGAUUAGAAACCCGUGUAGUCCCAUG